Molecule: ribosomal RNA, 462 nt
Filed under: uncultured bacterium
Lineage: Bacteria
Description: bacterial SSU rRNA
Rfam family: Bacterial small subunit ribosomal RNA
Source: RNAcentral
UCAGAUUGAACGCUGGCGGAAUGCUUUACACAUGCAAGUCGAACGGCAGCACGGGGGCAACCUGGUGGCGAGUGGCGAACGGGUGAGUAAUGUAUCGGAACGUACCCAGUCGUGGGGGAUAACUAUCCGAAAGGAUAGCUAAUACCGCAUACGUCCUGAGGGAGAAAGCGGGGGAUCGCAAGACCUCGCGCGAUUGGAGCGGCCGAUAUCGGAUUAGCUAGUUGGUGAGGUAAAGGCUCACCAAGGCGACGAUCCGUAGCGGGUCUGAGAGGACGACCCGCCACACUGGAACUGAGAUACGGGCCAGACUCCUACGGGAGGCAGCAGUAGGGAAUAUUGGGCAAUGGACGAGAGUCUGACCCAGCCAUGCCGCGUGCAGGAAGAAGGCGUUCUGCGUUGUAAACUGCUUUUAUCUGGGAAGAAAAGGCCCAUGCGUGGGACAUUGCCGGUACCAGAUGAAUA